UACGGAGGGUGCUAGCGUUGUUCGGAAUCACUGGGCGUAAAGGGCGCGUAGGCGGCCUCUUAAGUCGAACGUGAAAUCCCCGGGCUCAACCCGGGAACUGCGUCCGAUACUGGGGGGCUUGAAUCCGGGAGAGGGAUGUGGAAUUCCAGGUGUAGCGGUGAAAUGCGUAGAGAUCGGGAGGAACACCGGUGGCGAAGG
RNAcentral lists this ribosomal RNA (198 nucleotides) under uncultured prokaryote. RNAcentral's name for it is "partial 16S ribosomal RNA". It matches the Rfam family "Bacterial small subunit ribosomal RNA", at positions 524 to 721 of the family's 1533-position model. The record is from RNAcentral.